Molecule: long non-coding RNA, 892 nt
Organism: Xenia sp. Carnegie-2017
Lineage: Eukaryota; Metazoa; Cnidaria; Anthozoa; Malacalcyonacea; Xeniidae
Exons: 10
Source: RefSeq, a predicted model, not a curated record
CUUCGCCAUGUUGGAAGUUAUAUGAAAAGAAAAUAGUGAUUUUUUACACAAUUCACUGAGGUAAAUUUAAAAAUUGAAGUGUGGAAACGAUAAUAGAGAGGCAAAGAAGGCAGCACGAAGAAUGCGAGAGGCUCGAAGAUGCGAUAACUGAAGAAUUUUUACUGAAGAAACAGACGCCUAAAGACCAAAUCAAUUCAGAUCACAGAGCCUGGGAUCUAUUAGAGAGAUAUCUCUCUUCUACUAGCUCGUUGCUGACAUUGUAUAAUGAUAAUGAUGGGAUGAGGAAAGAAGAAAUAUCUGCUUUAUCUGGGCCCAAUGAGUUUGCUGAUUUCUACAGCAGAUUACGAGUUAUCAAAGACUAUCACAGAAAGUAUCCAAAUGAGCUUUGGUUGACUUUUCUGAUGAAGAAGGUUACGGCAAGUACUUGGAUCUUCACGAACCUUAUGAUAAAUAUAUGAACAUCAAGGGAAUCGAGAGAAUAGACUAUCUUGCGUAUUUGGAAACAUUCGACCGCUUGUUCGACAUUCCCAAAGAGAAGAAAACACACGAAUACAAAAGAUACAUCAUCGUUCUCCUUGAUUACCUUUACUACUAUUGUCAACGUGUCCAACCGCUGGUCGAUCUUGAUAAGGAAAUGGAGGAAACCCAAGAAGAAUUUGAUAGAAACUGGGCGCAAGGAUGAUUUCCAGGAUGGCCCAAAGAUACCGGAAGUGCUUUGGCGCAAUCUGGGGCACAUCUUGAUCUGUGUGGUUUCUCAUCUGCUGAGCUUUGGUUGACUUUUCUGAUGAAGAAGGUUACGGCAAGUACUUGGAUCUUCACGAACCUUAUGAUAAAUAUAUGAACAUCAAGGGAAUCGAGGUAAUUCAACUAGGUCGCAUGCGUUUAGUUAUGA